RNAcentral lists this ribosomal RNA (539 nucleotides) under uncultured bacterium. RNAcentral describes it as "bacterial SSU rRNA". It matches the Rfam family "Bacterial small subunit ribosomal RNA", at positions 772 to 1314 of the family's 1533-position model. The record is from RNAcentral.
ACUCAAUAGAUACCCAGGUAGUCCACGCCCUAAACGAUGUCUACUAGUUGUCGGGUCUUAAUUGACUUGGUAAACGCAGCUAAACGCGUGAAGUAGACCGCCUGGGGAGUACGGUCGCAAGAUUAAAACUCAAAGGAAUUGACGGGGACCCGCACAAGCGGUGGAUGAUGUGGAUUAAAUUCGAUGCAACGCGAAAAACCUUACCUACCCUUGACAUGGAUGGAAUCCCUGAGAGAUUGGGGAGUGCCCGAAAGGGAACCAUUACACGGGUGCUGCAUGGCUGUCGUCAGCUCGUGUCGUGAGAUGUUGGGUUAAGUCCCGCAACGAGCGCAACCCUUGUCAUUAGUUGCUACGAAAGGGCACUCUAAUGAGACUGCCGGUGACAAACCGGAGGAAGGUGGGGAUGACGUCAAGUCCUCAUGGCCCUUAUGGGUAGGGCUUCACACGUCAUACAAUGGUACAUACAGAGGGCCGCCAACCCGCGAGGGGGAGCUAAUCCCAGAAAGUGUAUCGUAGUCCGGAUUGUAGUCUGCAACUCG